UUCUAGCCCCGAUAGUAGUGAAAAUCCUUUUUAUUUUUUCUUUAAAAAUAAAAAGAUUGUAACGGAUAGCGGGAAAUAGC
Molecule: small RNA, 80 nt
Filed under: Flavobacterium sp. 123
Lineage: Bacteria; Pseudomonadati; Bacteroidota; Flavobacteriia; Flavobacteriales; Flavobacteriaceae
Description: Flavo-1 RNA
Rfam family: Flavo-1 RNA
Source: Rfam by way of RNAcentral